Molecule: long non-coding RNA, 2175 nt
Filed under: Olea europaea (common olive)
Lineage: Eukaryota; Viridiplantae; Streptophyta; Magnoliopsida; Lamiales; Oleaceae
Description: long non-coding RNA (OEUR_LNC014232)
Source: RNAcentral
AAUUUUUUGCACUUGGUUGUAUAUACCUAAACUCGAACAUGAUUAUAAUGUACAAUUAGUAACAAUUACACAAUCAAGCUAUACAGCUGGCUAAACAACUAUCUUUUUGUACACAUAUACGAAAAUAAAUUAUACAAUAUUCUUCAUCAUCAAAAUACAAAGAUUAGAUACUUGAGCUUCAUAAUCUGCAAAGUUCUACUAUUCUCAACCCUUCAAAAAGGAACGAAAAUGUUUUCCAUUGACCAAAUUUCAAUUAUUUCAUAUUUUUUCCUUUUUUUACCAUUACUAGUGUAUGGAGUUCGAUUCGAAGUAGACGGAAUUCAAAUUUGCGUCAAGUGUCGAUUCUUCGUCAACACCACCUCUUCAGUUUUAAUUAAAUCGGUAGCAUUUGAGGGAACCUCUAAGACAUCUCCUUUAAGAUGGUGUUGACGUGCCCUUUAGGGCACUCCUCCAAUGGCAUCAUAUUUUGUCAAUCUAUUCAAAAAUCAAUAACAAGAGAAUACCAAAGGUCAAAUGAUAAUACGUAAUACAUUUUUUUUGUAACACAUGUAGAAGAGCUGUUGAAACAAGUUUGACAUUGUAUCAUAACUUUCGAGAAACAAUAACCAACAGUUGAGAAUUUCGGAUCAUAAUUGUCAAGGACUCAAGAAUGAAAGUUUAUCUCGACAGAUGAGUUCCAUAAGAACUACAAAUGAAUUAUACAGUAACAUGAAUCAAAUGUUUGACUCCUCAAAUUGAACCAUAUUAUAUCAAAUUUAAAAACAUGUCAACUCACAAAAUUCUGCCCGCAUUUAAAUUAAACUAAAAAAUUUCAUCCGAACGACACGUGAACUGAUCAUAAAUCGAUUCAACAUUUCAUUGUCGGUAAAAGAUAAAAAUGAUCCCAACAUAUGCAUUCAAAUUAUUGUACUUACAGACCGACUAAUCAAGUAUUUGAGAAUACAUAAUCACAGAACAAAUAUAACUCCUUAUUCAUCCAAAAUUGAAUCAAGGACUCGAUGAAAAAAUAUCAAAAAACAUAGAUAAAUAAACAAGCUUACAAAUAAAUAUAGCUAAGUUGAUUCAGAAAUUAUAAAAUGAGACUAACUUGAUGCAAACUCGCCCCCAUUAUUUCUCAUUAAAUUAAAUUAAAUUAAAUUUUUCUCUCUCCUAUUUUUAACCACACAAUUUUCAAUAAAAUAAUAUUACACGUAAAUCAAAAACUUUUCUUUUCUUUUCAACCACUUAUUUUUCAAAAAAAUACUAUUGAAAACAUUAUAAUCUUGAAAUAAUGGGGCUCAAACGGGGGCAUAAUCACAUAACAAAUAUAACUCCUUAUUCAUCCAAAAUUGAAUCAAGGAUCCGAUGAAAAAAUAUCAAAAUACAUAGAUAAAUAAACAAGCUUACAAAUAAAUAUAGCUAAGUUGAUUCAGAAAUUAUAAAAUGAGACUAACUUGAUGCAAACUCAAAAUUAUAUUCAUAACAUAAUACAACAAGAAUUUAGUUUAACAAUCACCCCCCAAAACAAUAACAUAUUUGGAAAGAAAUUCUCUGUAAAACUUCAAAAUCAAGUAAAAUUGUCAAAAUCAUACAACUAACACUAAACAAGAGUGUACUAAGAUUUCUUACAUUCUUACUUCCAAGUGCAGCAUAAAUGUAAUUCACUAAGCAAAAGUGCACUACAUUUUUCAUCUAUUUUCACUUUUUCCUAAGCAAAAAAAUUAAGCAAUCGUAGUUAUAAAUCUAAAUGAACAAAUCUAGUUCAAAAAAGAAUGCCAAAUAAAAAGGAAUAAAAUAAAGGAAUAAAUCUAAAUUUUUCUUAAACCAAAAAAAUCGAACAAAGUAAAAAUUUUACCCAACAUUAUAUGGACAAUGCUUGAAAAUCUCAAUGUUUGUAGAAAUUUGAACAUUGUUACUUAUUAAAUAGAAACCCUAUAUAUGAAAUUUUUUCCCUCAACUUCAAAUAAAGCACAAAUUAUUCAAAAUAUUUGAAUCUAAAAAAAGUGAAAAUGGUAUUUACCUCGAUUUGAAGUUGGAACCAAAUACAUAUAGUCGGAUAUUGAACUUGAACUGUACUCCAAGUAGGUGUAGGUUGUCGAUUGUAAGAUGGGCAAGUGGUUAUUGUGGAGUGGAAAUUUUUCAAGUUCAUUAUUUUGUGUGAACUGAGUUUAGAAAGUGGGUUUGCAAAAAGGAGAU